UUAACUUUGUGUAGUAGCAUCUUUAGGUUUUUGACGUGAUAUACUGUUCUUAUAUAAACUUAAAGCCGUUCAUAUACAAAAGUUAUAAAUACUAUUAAAGUGUAAAUAUAUUAUGAAAUGUGAUUUUAUUGAGGUGAGGUCUGUAAUUCGAGGCUUUGAGCCACAAAAUAAGAAGACACUUUGUUAUGAUCAGGCUAGUUACAUAAGCAAAUUCUGUGCUUGACUCAUCAAAUGCAUGUAUGGCCACAUUGAAGUCAUCAAUGUACGAAGACAGCUGGCUUGUAUUGUGUCACUCCAAAAACUUCAAUUAUUUACUAGUGAAAUUGGCAUCCCAAUGUUGUUGACAAUGUCUUCCAUGAUAUUGAGACUCUACUUUGUUUUUUCAAAUUUUUGAAGCAAGUGAAAGUGAAUAGAGGUGUAAAUCUCUGAUCAUCUAUGCUACGGUGCAGUUGUAUAGCAGCUACAACUUGCCCAAUGAGUUUUUGAACUUGAUUAGUUUUCUAAUUGCUGGGUUGAAUAAAAAGAGCACUCAGAAGAUGGUUGCAAAUUGCAAUACAUCCACUUGCUUUUUUUAUAUUGAAUCACUAGUUGAAAGAGAUGAACAACGGGAUUAUGCUUCAGAUCAGUGUUUCCAAUGACAAAUUUAAUUAAUUUCCAAAAAUUAGGCAAAUUGUCUGCGACUGCAAGCUAAUCCCCAAACUUCACAACUCAAAAGGAGCUCAUUGUCAUCACGUAGUUCUUCCUCAUCUUCAUCAUCUCCCUCACAGCUUCAUCAAAUGCUUUAUUUUCACUUUCCUCUCCAUCAAAACCGGAAAAAUCACCGUGAUCAUCACUCAAAUCUCUGAUCUCCCCGUCAACAGGUCUAAUAACCACUAGUGUCGCUCCCUUCAUCGAGAAACCUGUUUCUGGUAACUCUAGCACGGGCACGUACCAUAGCUUCAUGCUCAAAUCUGGAACUCGGCUUCUCUCCGUUGAUGAUUCUUUUGUUGCCAAUGACUUCAAUGCAUUUCUCAUAUCAGUAAUCUGAUCUUUUCCCACGCACAGCUUUCCUUGCUUAUUUAUAUCACUUAUGGUCACAUUUUCAAGCCUGUGAUGUUCUGCUAGAACCUCCUUUAGCAACCAAUGUCUCGCAGAUGCAUCAAUCAAGCAAGAAAUCGUCCAUACAACUCGUAACUUGAGUUCAUCAUCAGUUAAUACUUGCUCAACAAUGUCUUCUCUCUGGUUUUGAAAAUGAUCUAUGCUUUCCUGAAAAGAUGUAGCGCCAAGAACAACACAAUUCUUGAGCUCAACAUCAAACUCUGCCUUCCAUUUAAGCAAUGAACCAAUACCCUCCAAACCUACCUUACCACCAUGAGAUGGAACCUCAAUGUGCAGAGAUUUAACAUCUUUGAAGUGCUUCAAAACUUCAUUAGGAGAGUAAUAUGAGAGAUUACCAGAGUUUCUAGCAGGUGACUUGUUAGGAGCAAUUUUAUGGUGAAAGAACUGGAGUGGUUUGGCAAUGAACUUCAAGAAAAGAAUCUUUAAAAUGUUCACGGGUAAUCGAUGGCUUGACUUUGAGUUGUGUUUGCGAGGAGAGAUGGAAAGAAAGACCGUGUCAGUUUGGAAGACAAGAGAAGCAAAGCGAUGGGAGACUAAGAGGCAGCGAGCAAGAGAUUUGGCAUCUUGUAGCUUGUUGAAGAUAAGAAGCAGAAGUUGGUCUGGAAGACGAUCAAAGAAAUCUUCUUCCUCUACAGAACUCAUUGGGAUUUUUUGGUUUGUGUUGUUGAAGUUGAAGAAUGAUAAAUUGGCUUUUG
RNAcentral lists this unclassified non-coding RNA (1793 nucleotides) under Hevea brasiliensis (rubber tree). Lineage: Eukaryota; Viridiplantae; Streptophyta; Magnoliopsida; Malpighiales; Euphorbiaceae. The record is from RNAcentral.